Molecule: ribosomal RNA, 1138 nt
Filed under: Vibrio sp.
Lineage: Bacteria; Pseudomonadati; Pseudomonadota; Gammaproteobacteria; Vibrionales; Vibrionaceae
Description: bacterial SSU rRNA
Rfam family: Bacterial small subunit ribosomal RNA
Source: RNAcentral
UGCAAGUCGAGCGGAAACGAGUUAACUGACCCUUCGGGUGACGUUAACGGCGUCGAGCGGCGGACGGGUGAGUAAUGCCUGGGAAAUUGCCCUGAUGUGGGGGAUAACCAUUGGAAACGAUGGCUAAUACCGCAUAAUGCCUUCGGGCCAAAGAGGGGGACCUUCGGGCCUCUCGCGUCAGGAUAUGCCCAGGUGGGAUUAGCUAGUUGGUGAGGUAAUGGCUCACCAAGGCGACGAUCCCUAGCUGGUCUGAGAGGAUGAUCAGCCACACUGGAACUGAGACACGGUCCAGACUCCUACGGGAGGCAGCAGUGGGGAAUAUUGCACAAUGGGCGCAAGCCUGAUGCAGCCAUGCCGCGUGUGUGAAGAAGGCCUUCGGGUUGUAAAGCACUUUCAGCAGUGAGGAAGGCGGGUACGUUAAUAGCGUGCUCGUUUGACGUUAGCUGCAGAAGAAGCACCGGCUAACUCCGUGCCAGCAGCCGCGGUAAUACGGAGGGUGCGAGCGUUAAUCGGAAUUACUGGGCGUAAAGCGCAUGCAGGUGGUUCGUUAAGUCAGAUGUGAAAGCCCGGGGCUCAACCUCGGAACUGCAUUUGAAACUGGCGGACUAGAGUACUGUAGAGGGGGGUAGAAUUUCAGGUGUAGCGGUGAAAUGCGUAGAGAUCUGAAGGAAUACCGGUGGCGAAGGCGGCCCCCUGGACAGAUACUGACACUCAGAUGCGAAAGCGUGGGGAGCAAACAGGAUUAGAUACCCUGGUAGUCCACGCCGUAAACGAUGUCUACUUGGAGGUUGUGGCCUUGAGCCGUGGCUUUCGGAGCUAACGCGUUAAGUAGACCGCCUGGGGAGUACGGUCGCAAGAUUAAAACUCAAAUGAAUUGACGGGGGCCCGCACAAGCGGUGGAGCAUGUGGUUUAAUUCGAUGCAACGCGAAGAACCUUACCUACUCUUGACAUCCAGAGAAGCCAGCGGAGACGCAGGUGUGCCUUCGGGAACUCUGAGACAGGUGCUGCAUGGCUGUCGUCAGCUCGUGUUGUGAAAUGUUGGGUUAAGUCCCGCAACGAGCGCAACCCUUAUCCUUGUUUGCCAGCGAGUAAUGUCGGGAACUCCAGGGAGACUGCCGGUGAUAAACCGGAGAAAGG